Molecule: ribosomal RNA, 253 nt
Filed under: uncultured bacterium
Lineage: Bacteria
Description: partial 16S ribosomal RNA
Rfam family: Bacterial small subunit ribosomal RNA
Source: RNAcentral
UACGAAGGGGGCUAGCGUUGCUCGGAAUCACUGGGCGUAAAGCGCACGUAGGCGGUCUUUUAAGUCAGGGGUGAAAUCCUGGAGCUCAACUCCAGAACUGCCUUUGAUACUGAGAAGCUUGAGUCCGGGAGAGGUGAGUGGAACUGCGAGUGUAGAGGUGAAAUUCGUAGAUAUUCGCAAGAACACCAGUGGCGAAGGCGGCUCACUGGCCCGGUACUGACGCUGAGGUGCGAAAGCGUGGGGAGCAAACAGG